UCGGGAAUUUUGGGCAAUGGGCGAAAGCCUGACCCGGCAACGCCGCGUGAAGGAUGAAGUAUUUCGGUAUGUAAACUUCGUAAGAAUAGGAAGAAUAAAUGACGGUACUAUUUGUAAGGUCCGGCUAACUACGUGCCAGCAGCCGCGGUAAUACGUAGGGACCAAGCGUUGUUCGGAUUUACUGGGCGUAAAGGGCGCGUAGGCGGUGUGUCAAGUCAGUUGUGAAAUCUCCGAGCUUAACUCGGAACGGUCAACUGAUACUGUCACACUAGAGUACAGAAGGGGCAAUCGGAAUUCUUGGUGUAGCGGUGAAAUGCGUAGAUAUCAAGAGGAACACCUGAGGUGAAGACGGGUUGCUGGGCUGACACUGACGCUGAGGCGCGAAAGCCAGGGGAGCAAACGGGAUUAGAUACCCAGGUAGUCCCUGAGCGGGCUGGCAAGGCGCAU
Molecule: ribosomal RNA, 447 nt
Filed under: uncultured bacterium
Lineage: Bacteria
Description: bacterial SSU rRNA
Rfam family: Bacterial small subunit ribosomal RNA
Source: RNAcentral